This 522-nucleotide ribosomal RNA is filed under the name uncultured bacterium. RNAcentral's name for it is "partial 16S ribosomal RNA". It matches the Rfam family "Bacterial small subunit ribosomal RNA", at positions 28 to 523 of the family's 1533-position model. The record is from RNAcentral.
GACGAACGCUGGCGGCGUGCCUAAUACAUGCAAGUCGAACGCAAAACUUUCACCGAAUGCUUGCAUUCACGAAAGUUUUGAGUGGCGAACGGGUGAGUAACACGUGGGUAACCUGCACAGAAGAGGGGGAUAACACUUGGAAACAGGUGCUAAUACCGCAUAAUAACAAAAACCGAAUGGUUUUUGUUUGAAAGAUGGUUUUGCUAUCACUUCUGGAUGGACACGCGGCGUAUUAGCUAGUUGGUAAGGUAAAGGAUUACCAAGGAAAUGAUACGUAGCCGAACUGAGAGGUUGAUCGGCCACAUUGGGACUGAGACACGGCCCAAACUCCUACGGGAGGCAGCAGUAGGGAAUCUUCCACAAUGGACGAAAGUCUGAUGGAGCAACGCCGCGUGAGUGAAGAAGGUUUUCGGAUCGUAAAACUCUGUUGUUAGAGAAGAACGUGUGUGAGAGUAACUGCUCAUGCAGUGACGGUAUCUAACCAGAAAGCCACGGCUAACUACGUGCCAGCAGCCGCCGUAA